Molecule: long non-coding RNA, 1036 nt
Filed under: Daphnia magna
Lineage: Eukaryota; Metazoa; Arthropoda; Branchiopoda; Diplostraca; Daphniidae
Description: uncharacterized LOC116934942
Source: RNAcentral
UAGAUAAUUUAUCAAUAGAUGGCUACACUGUUUAGUGUUUAGUGGAUCGUCUGCAGUAGAGAUUUAUGGUUUAUCAGAUGUGGCGUUAGGGAUUCGAGACGUGUUCUGCGAGGGGAUAAUGUUCAGGACAAUUUUUCCCACAACACACGAUUGUUUGCAUUGAUUGUCGUUGUAGUAGGUUAUGACGUCACUGAAAUAACCAUUCGUCUGAAGUGCGCCACCGCCAUUGUCAACACGAAUCAUCUUCUGAUACGUUGUCCGGUCUUUUAAAUCUUUUAUUACUUUAAUGUAUUUUUGUAAUUCCUUGGCCCUUGACACUAUCUAACCAACAAAGAAACCUCCUUUUUCACGUUACUUUUACCAAUUUUUACAUACUUGUACAUUAGUUGGUUAUAGGAAACAUCUUGCCAUUCAUCCAUGCCAUCUGAUCGUGUCAACAUGCUAAUCCGAUCUUGCCACUGGCCGAAGCCUUUUUUUCAAAUUUUGCAUCCUUCCAUUUAAAGAUAUCUAAUACAAGUAUUCUGGCAUGUGUCUGGCAAUAGGGUACAGGAAUCGCAUGGUCCCUUUUAGGUGUCGAGCCUGGCCCACACCCUCUGUAAUUGAAACUGUAUUGGUAAAAUUAAUUACAUGGAGGUAGAGUGUCAAUUUGGGACUUGAUUUGUCAUCUGUUGGUUGAGGUGGAAAAACAGGGAUUGGAUCAACAAUUUUAUUCCCAUACUCACCUUUGGAAUUCUUGGAUUGUAGCUGUUGUUGCAGGACACUCUCCUUGUUUGGGACUUGAUUUGUCACCAUUUGUCGAUUUGGAAAAAUAGGGAUUGGACCAACCAUUUUAUUCCCACACUUAUCAUUGGAAUUCUGGCAUGGUAGCUGUUGUUGCAGGACACUCCUUGGUUCGUUAGUGAGGUUCCAGAAAGCAGCAUUCCAAGAGCAAGAAUCUAGUUUACAGGCUGUUAACACAAUCUAGAAUGUUUAACUUUGUUUUCCUGCCUUGAUGGUGAAAUUGAAUUGUAUUGGAAUUAAAAAAUUUGAGAAGCUA